This 538-nucleotide ribosomal RNA is filed under the name uncultured fungus. Its description in RNAcentral is "eukaryotic LSU rRNA". The stretch from base 175 to 328 matches the Rfam family "5.8S ribosomal RNA". The record is from RNAcentral. Lineage: Eukaryota; Fungi.
UACCGAGUGAGGGCCCUCUGGGUCCACCUCCCACCCGUGUUUAUUUACCUUGUUGCUUCGGCGAGCCUGCCUUUUGGCUGCCGGGGGACGUCAGUCCCCGGGUCCGUGCUCGCCGGAGACACCUUAGAACUCUGUCUGAAGAUUGUAGUCUGAGAUUAAAUAUAAAUUAUUUAAAACUUUCAACAACGGAUCUCUUGGUUCCGGCAUCGAUGAAGAACGCAGCGAAAUGCGAUACGUAAUGUGAAUUGCAGAAUUCAGUGAAUCAUCGAGUCUUUGAACGCACAUUGCGCCCUCUGGUAUUCCGGAGGGCAUGCCUGUCCGAGCGUCAUUGCUGCCCUCAAGCACGGCUUGUGUGUUGGGCCCCGUCCUCCUUCCGGGGGACGGGUCCGAAAGGCAGCGGCGGCACCGCGUCCGGUCCUCAAGCGUAUGGGGCUUUGUCACUCGCUUUGUAGGCCUGGCCGGCGCUUGCCGAUCAACCAAACUUUUUAUCAGGUUGACCUCGGAUCAGGUAGGGAUACCCGCUGAACUUAAGCAUAUC